CUCUCAAGAUAGCCAUGCAUGGUCUAGUAUAGCAUUAUACCGUGAAACUGCGAAUGGCUCAUUAAAUCAGUUAUCGUUUAUUUGAUAGUACCUUACUACUUGGAUAACCCGUGGUAAUUCUAGAGCUAAUACAUGCUAAAAACCCCGACUUCGGGAGGGGUGUAUUUAUUAGAUAAAAAACCAAUGCCCUUCGGGGCUCUUUGGUGAUUCAUGAUAACUUAACGGAUCGCAUGGCCUUGCGCCGGCGACGGUUCAUUCAAAUUUCUGCCCUAUCAACUUUCGAUGGUAAGGUAUUGGCUUACCAUGGUUUCAACGGGUAACGGGGAAUUAGGGUUCGAUUCCGGAGAGGGAGCCUGAGAAACGGCUACCACAUCCAAGGAAGGCAGCAGGCGCGCAAAUUACCCAAUCCCGACUCGGGGAGGUAGUGACAAUAAAUACUGAUACAGGGCUCUUUUGGGUCUUGUAAUCGGAAUGAGUACAAUUUAAACCCCUUAACGAGGAACAAUUGGAGGGCAAGUCUGGUGCCAGCAGCCGCGGUAAUUCCAGCUCCAAUAGCGUAUAUUAAAGUUGUUGCAGUUAAAAAGCUCGUAGUUGAACCUUGGGCCUGGCUGGCCGGUCCGCCUCACCGCGUGUACUGGUCCGGCCGGGCCUUUCCUUCUGGAGAGCCGCAUGCCCUUCACUGGGUGUGUUGGGGAACCAGGACUUUUACUUUGAAAAAAUUAGAGUGUUCAAAGCAGGCCUUUGCUCGAAUACGUUAGCAUGGAAUAAUAGAAUAGGACGUGCGGUCCUAUUUUGUUGGUUUCUAGGACCGCCGUAAUGAUUAAUAGGGAUAGUCGGGGGCAUCAGUAUUCAAUUGUCAGAGGUGAAAUUCUUGGAUUUAUUGAAGACUAACUACUGCGAAAGCAUUUGCCAAGGAUGUUUUCAUUAAUCAGUGAACGAAAGUUAGGGGAUCGAAGACGAUCAGAUACCGUCGUAGUCUUAACCGUAAACUAUGCCGACUAGGGAUCGGGCGAUGUUUCUAUCUUGACUCGCUCGGCACCUUACGAGAAAUCAAAGUUUUUGGGUUCUGGGGGGGAGUAUGGUCGCAAGGCUGAACUAGAGA
RNAcentral lists this ribosomal RNA (1102 nucleotides) under Hermatomyces tectonae. RNAcentral describes it as "SSU rRNA". It matches the Rfam family "Eukaryotic small subunit ribosomal RNA", at positions 34 to 1150 of the family's 1831-position model. Lineage: Eukaryota; Fungi; Ascomycota; Dothideomycetes; Pleosporales; Hermatomycetaceae. The record is from RNAcentral.